CGGUGGACCUCAUUCUUCAUUGGUGAGUGGGGGUGCCAUCAUUGUACAUUAAAUGCACGCCCCACUUGCCAUGACCUUUGCCCUCUUGGUGAAUUGAAAGAGUGGGGUUUUGGUUCCUGGGAUUUCACACCCUGUUCUCUCCUGACCAGCUGGUCUGAUUGAGUGCUGCCCCACCUCUCUUCUCCCUCUUCUAAUUCGGUUGGGAUGUUGUCAGGUGAACUUUUUUCUAUUAUUGAUAGGGAAUUUUGUGUCUGAGAGGCUUCGCUUGCUUUGUUUUCUUUUUGUGUCCGCUUCUUGGAAUUUGGUUGGCAUGGCUUUGUAGGGAAGUAUAUAAGCUUCUUUUUUUUUUUUAAUCUAUUCUGUGUGGUGAAUUCUCACAUUUCCUUUUGUUUUCUUAAUUCUGAGUUUUUUUUUUUUUAUUCUCUGAUUUGAUUUUGUAUGGUAGACAGAUUUCACAACUGAUUGGAAUUCUUAUUUGGAGGUAAUGAUUAUAUUUAAGCUUUUAUGUUUUCUUUCUUCUCUGUUUCUUUAUCACAUUUAGUUUCAAUCAUGAUUUAGAAUUAGUUUCUUUAGAAAUUUCCUUCAAGAUGACAACUGGGUUUAGUUCUGUUGUUUCUUUCAGAUUUAAUUCAAUCUGGACAGAAAAACUUUUCCUCAGCGGGUUUGAUGCAAAUAUAAAUAAUUAUAAGCAUUAAAGCUGACUGGUUUAUUCUUCGCAUCUAAAUGUUUUUUUUGCAGGAUAUUGCCAAUUACAUGCAUGAUCACAAUGAUGCAGAGGCUACACCGUUCUAUGCAAAUUGCUUGCAUUUGUAUUUAUGGAAUGCGUGAUGCAUUCAUUCAAGGUUUGAACAACAUUAGUUUGUGUGUGACAAUUCACUUCUAAUCCUAUAUACUGGAGACUCGAAAAACAUUAUUUAAUGGGCAUAGCAUGUUAACCAUUUCCUUUCAUCCUUCCACAUUAUUAUGGUGGAAUUUAUAAUAGCAUAAAUAGUUGCAACUUCCAAUAGCCUCGCUAAACAUGUUGCCAUUGCUUUUGAUGGCUGCUGAGAGGUUGUCAGACAAUUUCUUAGGAAGAAGGUUCGGCUGCUGAAAGGUUGUUAUGAUCGAGGUUACUUCAUUGGGGUUGAGCCUUUUGGUUGCGAAUAUGAGGUGGCCUUCCAUUAAUGCAUUUGACAGGGCAUUUAGCAUUUUGUGUUUGUUUCUAUCAGUUUAGGCUAUUAUGAUGCCGCCAGUAUGAAGGCUUCAGGUUAUCUCACUUGCCUUUUGUUUUUGGUUUUACUCCUGUGCUUGCUGUCUUUUUACUUCUUUGUCCACUUAUUCCUCGUGCGAUCUGAAAAGGUGUCUGUUUGUUUUUCUGUUGUCUUUUUAAAUGGUCAAUUCUGGUCUACGUUGUCCAUCUUCGUAAGGGUUUCUUCCUACUCUUUUCCUUUAGCUCAGAUGUUUGUUCUUUUUUAAGAGAGGGAGGCUGUUGUGGUCCUCUGCUUUGUUUGGUAUCUGUCUUCUCUUCUUUUUUGCUGAUUCGAUUGGUUGUUUGAAGGAUUUAACUUUGUCUUGAGUUGCUUCUUUUUUUUUUCUUUUUUUUUCCAGCAGGGGUUGCUUUUGAAGGAGGUAAUUGGCUCUCUCUAUUGGUUCUUCGGUUGAAUAGAUUUUGGGAGAUUCUUACUGAUUAUCAUCCUUUCAGCUGAUUUCAGUAUGGCAUGUCAUGUGAUAAAUUCUUUUAGGUAAUUGAUGCAAACCAGAAACAACCUGGUUACCCCACUGGAGUGUGUUGAAGUAGCAUUAUAGCUAAGGAAAUUUGAUUGUAUCAUGUAAUUUGAACUGCCAUUGUAGUUUAAACUUAUUACCUCCACUUGGAACAAUCAAACUGUAAUAUAUUACCUUUCCACUGUUGUUUCUGGUUUGCAUCAGUUACUCAUAUUUCAUUGAACUAAGUGGGGUAAUUUGCAUCCCAGAUAUCUGUCAGUGCUAAUGGCAGUUCACAUUCUACAAUGGUAAAUUUCAUUGACUUGCAAUAUUGGUACAGGACUAUUCAUCAAAAAGGUCCAGGACUUGCUUGCUAGAGACUAGGUGGUUCAGGUUCAUCAUGCUUACAAGCUGCUGAUUGGCUAGCAAACUUGGGUUUUUUAAAAGGCCACUGGGAAAAGCUGCUACGGAUGCUCCCUCUUCUGGUUUAAUCCCUGUCUUAUUUUAUGAUAUUAUUGGGAGUAUAUCUUUAUUUAUUAAUUGCAUUUGCUUUAACUUUGUAUAUCAAACAUGCAGAGCAUGGAUUCAAAUUUAAUAGAUAGUAAAAGGCAGGGAGCGUGCUAUAUAUAUUGUAUAAAUCAAGAAUUAUGUGAUCUUCAUAUAUAUACACUUAACCGUGUCAGCCCAAUUAAGCUUGUAAUGCAGCUUCAAAUGAGGGAACUAGAAAGAAUGUUUGAUGAAGUAC
RNAcentral lists this long non-coding RNA (2428 nucleotides) under Populus trichocarpa (black cottonwood). Its description in RNAcentral is "long non-coding RNA (PTRI_LNC002339)". The record is from RNAcentral. Lineage: Eukaryota; Viridiplantae; Streptophyta; Magnoliopsida; Malpighiales; Salicaceae.